AGAAGCCUGUUAAAACAUGUGGCAUUUUAAAAGAGCACAUGAAAAAAUUAUUUGAGCUGCUCUUUCAGAAACUUUUUGUAUUCAUUCCACUGCUGAACCGCAACAUACAUCAAUGUAACCUUCAGUAACUGAUCAGAACUAUACAUCUUUGGUUAUUCUGCCAAGACACGUGAGAAAGUGUGCCUUAAGUCUCCAUAUCGUUUUGUUUAUAACUGUAAAAAAAUAAGAAUCUUCUCUUUUCUAAGGACAAACAGUCAAUGAAUCAGUCAACCACAGAUCACACAACUGCCAUGAUGUGGAUGGAGACAAAAAUACUGAAAUAACCUAUGCAUCAGUUGUUUUUAAGCCACACAACUGCCAUGACAAUGAAGUUCUUCUAAAUAAUGACGCUGUAAAUGGCUCUGCAUCAGAACUUGUCAGCUCAGAGAAGGUCCUUUAUGCUACUGUCAAGCAAAGAGACAGAAGAUGAGCAAGUGAGCAGCGAAAUAUCCAAAUUAAAACACUCAAGAAAAAACUAAUGAUUCUAGAGAAUUCCCAUCUUGUAUUGUUUGAUUUAUCAGCAAUUGAAUCUAACAGGAGUGGAAAUGCUGUAUAGGCUUAUCUUGCAAAUAAAAAUGACUGUACAAGUGCUCUGAAAAGAUGAACAGUGAGGGCACCAAUCCACCGUAGCUUGUACAGUCUAAUUUAUGCUCUGUUUUUAAGCAGAAAUUUGUUUUGUCAUGUUAAUGUGAACACAAAUCCAGAUUACAUUUGUCUUGUGCUGUUUUUAUUAGAGUAUUAGAGACACAAAUCACAUUUUGAACUAUUUUUAAUUUUAAACUAAUUUAACUAAAUGACCAAAAAUGUGAUAUGUAGAUGAAGACCCGAGAAGUAACCUCAUUUGGACCUUUUCUAAAGCACCAGGGAAACCAAAGUAAGCUAAUUCAUACCCUUUUCUCUUAAAAAAGAAAGAAAAGAAAAUCUAAAACAAAAAUGUAUUAAUUUAUGAGAAAUGAGUGAAUCGACCCUAAUUGUAGAAAGAGUCUAAUGUUUAUCUAGAAUGUAUAUUGGCUUGGUCUUUACCUUUUAUAGUUAUUUGAAAGUCAUACUCUUGGCUCAGUUGAGUUGUAACUGUGGAUGAAUGGUGUGAAACUGAACUCAGCUACUUUAUCACCUAAACCACUGAAGUCUUUGCAGACAAUGUGACAGGACCACACAUGCAACAGUAAGGCACGAUAAAACAGGUGUAGGAGCAGUAACUGUCUAUCUGGUAAAGAAGCAUGUUAUGGAUUUGAGUUAGUAUAAAGCCACUCCAGGCCAAGAUGCUUACAGGAAACCAGAGUGGAAAUCCCCAUAUCCAUGAACGUCUUCACAAAAAGCCACAGCUUCUGUUUUGUCGCAUAGCAAAUAUUCGGUUGUGCAAGUCUUGUAUGAAAAUGUUUUCUCACUACUGAUGCUUUUUUUAAAUUCCUAAUUAAAAACAGCUUUCAAA
Sinocyclocheilus grahami is the source of this 1471-nucleotide long non-coding RNA. RefSeq lists it as uncharacterized. Lineage: Eukaryota; Metazoa; Chordata; Actinopteri; Cypriniformes; Cyprinidae. The record is from RefSeq and is a predicted model, not a curated record. The transcript has 3 exons.